CAGGAUAGUUCUACUUAAUUUUUUCUACRUCUUUUUCUCAAAGUCUCCCCCACCCCCCCACCACCACUGUGUCUGCAUUGUUUCUUACUCUCUGUCAUUGUUCCACCCUUGCUUGUAGGUGUUGGCCAGCAUGCAGAUGAGCAGAGCUGUCAGCUACAAGGUGGUUAGUGCCUCACAGUGGUCAGCAUGAGGAGGAACUGCAUCUCUUGAUUUGCUCUCUGGUGUCUGCUGAUCGAGGUUUGUUGGAGGAUGGGAUAUAUCUGUGACGUCUUUCUGCUAGAAACAUUGGGAACACAUGGCUGUGAGGUCAAUUCUGCCCUGACUGUAAUGAUGGCAGCUGCUUGGAGCUUUAGUUCUCAUUUCCGUAUUCCAUCUGACUUGAAGAGUUUAAGAUCAAUGGCAGUUUUGUAAUGUCUCCAGAAAAAAUAUAUUGAAACAGAGAAAGGGGUUACAUAACUAUUUCAACAGGGAAAUGUACAAUUUUUCUGUGGAUGCUGGUGGCUUAUUGAUUCUUAUUAAUUUUUCUUGAUAUUGGUAAGUAG
RNAcentral lists this long non-coding RNA (542 nucleotides) under Dromaius novaehollandiae (emu). RNAcentral's name for it is "lncRNA (ENSDNVG00000004493.1)". Lineage: Eukaryota; Metazoa; Chordata; Aves; Casuariiformes; Dromaiidae. The record is from RNAcentral.